GCCCUGCAGGAGGUUCUCUAGGGGGGAACGUGGCUCUUACUGCUAACGAUUUCCUACCUUCAGCCCAGACCUUUUGAGGUGUCCAGCUUUCAAGUUCCAAAGCACAGGGACACCUUGGACUUGGAACGGUAAGGUUGCGUUCUCUUUACGAGGUCAGAUAAGGAAACUUGGCAAAGGCACUUUGUUUAUAACUAGGCCUUUAGUUUUUGGCCGACCGGUCAAAGUUGUUUGCUUGCAGAAGUGCUUGGGAAACUCCCCCCAUCAAGUUAGUGUUUAUGUGCUUUCUGGUUCCACCUCUGAGGAACGGCGCACGGCACCAGUUUCUCUGAGAAAAUAAUACUCCCUUUCCUUCGAAGGCACCUUUUCUUUAAGCCCUCUUUUGUUUCUUUUGAGUCUUGCAGAUCAAAACUUGCCUUGCACUGAAGCACAUCAUUUCCCAUCAGUUGGAUGUGUGCAUAUAGAACUAGGUCAUCUGUUGAUGUGACCUAAUUUAUUCAAGCUGUGAGUUCUUUGUGAUCAGUUGCUGUUAACAUCAGCACUUCACUGCGUGUUUAUUUUGUAACUUGGGUGCCAGAUUGUAAGGAUACAAAGGGUGGUCUCCUGCUGCUUUUUCACUAGGUGGGUAUGAGGACCAGUAAUGGUGGUCUCCCUAAUCCACAAACCACACUGCCCCAGUCUUUAUCAACAUGGCCUUCUCCAAAUGUUGGACUCCAUGACCAUUGGCCAUGCUGGAUGGGGCUGGACCUGCCCUGUGGAACUCCUUGCCUGUAGAGGUUUGGCACGAGCCAUCCCUGCUCCCUCAGCUGUCGGGUGGUUAGAAAGACAAGGCCAGAGUUGGGAGUUGAGUUACGUGAGCUAGAAGCUGGACGCAAGACAGCAGGCUGGGCAGCUGAGAGACAGAGCCAUGCCUGAUUUCUCCUUGAAUCCAAGGCUGUGGCUAUGGGAGAAGCAAGAUCCUUUGGGGGUACUAAUGCUGUGAACCCCUCCAUCAUAGGCUCAGGUUGUAUAUGCAUGAAAAUAAACCAUAUAUCAUAAAGACACCACAGUCCUCAAUCCGAGGAAACACGAACCUUGGGUAAGCACCUGGAACCACUGGAAUUUUGCACCUUUCAGAGAUUGGCGUGUGUUAUAGAAAAAUUUAGGUCUUUUAUAUAGAUAUAGAUAUAGAUAUAGAUAUGUAAUAAAUGUUUAUAAAUGUAGCAAGCAAACACAUAUAUAAAUAUAUACACCACAUGUCCAAAACCCACAGGAAAAGUCCUAAAGCCAUUUUGACUCUUUCAGUCACCUCAAAUAUUUCUCUACAAGGUCAGAAGAAAUGCAGAAACCUCCCCAGUGUCUCUGUCUGUCCUCACAAAUCCUGCCACAUUUAAGGUGUGAAUAGGGUGAUCCUGUGACCUGGCUCAAGAAUUAAGUAUUAUCAUUACAAAAGAAUGUCCAGGCUCCCCAGGUAAUCCAGUCAAGUGACCAUUAACAGGUAACCUGGCAGGCAGGGUAAAAACAACACACUCAGAUUUCUGUUGUAGGCUGCCUUUUCUGUGACGUAGGUAUGAUGUAUUUGGCGGGUGGUCUUGGGCUGCACCCCUUCUGAGAUGUAUGUAUGAUGUUUCUGGGGGUAGUAUUGGACUCCAGGGCAGGCAAUUUAAAAUGUCUAUAUAAGGGCGGGCACACCUUUGUUCUGGGUCCUCCUCUCUCCUGUGUGUGUGGGAGUACCCUGUUGCAACAGUUCAAUAAAGAUCAGGCUUACUAGCUGCUUUGCUUAUCAAUAUUCUCUGGUUGGUCUCUGUUAUUUUCUCCUACCAAGAGAGAACCUACAAAAGGACUCUAUAUGGGCUCUUGGGUACCACAUAAGGGAAAAGGAGCAGUGUGGGUUUUUUUACUUAUAUCAGCAUGCAACACCAAAUAUAAAAAGACCCUUUCUCUGCUUUUAUAUGUGAACAGGGCAAGCAAAUUAAUAAAAUGCUUGUUGGCUAUUUUCAGUUUAGCUCUUUUGCAAGCAUACAGUACUCUCAGUUUUAAAAGUAAAUUGCCAUGCACAGCAAACAAAAGAGGGUGUUGGUUUUUCCACCAAUUGUUUCCCUCUGCAGCAAAACAAUUCCAGCAGACUUAGGUUUCAGGUUCCCAUAAUCCUUCCAUUAGUUUCACUUUUGCCUUGGCUGCAUCGUGAGAGGUUUGGAUGCCAAACACAGCUAGGGAAAUAGUUAACACCCUUUUUUCUGCCAGUUGCCUUUCAAACUUUAGCUUACAAAGGAUUUGAAUGAUGCCAGUGCUGGUUACCUUUAGCCUGUUUGUUUUGUGUUUUCAAAAAUUAAGGGCAGGCAAAAAAACCCCCCAACUUGCUGUGAAAUUGUUAAGCGAUGCUUUUCUGCCUAAUUUGCCUAGACAAGUCCACACAUUUGUGACCAUUCACAGACUUUUCAGUGCAACUUGUUUACAGGGCUUUGAGCAUAACCUACAUUUUCAAGAACACAAAGGUGGCUGAGCCCUGAAGGACUUUUGGACUCACACAAACUCCCUUCCUGAUUCCUUUCUACUUUCCCUGUUUCCAGGCAAACCAUCAUUUCCCAUUUUUCCAGAACUCAAAGCUAUCAUUUGUGCCUGUCAUGAAAACUCAGUUUGCAAACCAUAGUUUGAUCUGGAUUUCCAACUGUGGUGAGUUUUUCUGGGGGGAGAGGGGAAAAGCUAACCACUAUUUACUGGUUCAGAUGAAACAGCAAACUAUGGUUUGAAUAGCUCAGUUGGUUAGAGCGUUGUGCUGAUAACUCCAAGGUUGCAGGUUUGAUCCCUGUAUUGGACAACUGCAUAUUUCUGCAUUGCAGCAAGUUGAGUUAGAUGCUUAUGAGGGUCCCUUCCAACUAUAUGAUUCUAUGAUCAAUGAUAUAAGUUUGCCUUAAACCAGAAAGGGGGAGCAGGGGGCAGGGUUUGGAAUAAAAAGAAGAGGGUCUUCAGUCCUUCAAGGCGUGUUCACAUGGCAGCAAAAAGUGGUUUGGCAUCAUAGCUGAACAGCCACUCCAACUCAUUUAAUACGCAUUUGUAUGCAGUUUUCCACUUUCUAGAUCAGGAAUUGCAGUCAUAAAUCAGUCAUUUUUGCAUAUCUAAGUACUGAUGCCAUUUCCCCUGCACUGAGUGAUUCCAGUGCAAUCCACACACCUACUUUUCCAAGCACAAUUCAUAGUGUUGGUGUUGACCUUUAAAGCCCUAAAUGGCCUCGGCCCAGUAUACCUGAAGGAACGUCUCCACCCCCAUCGUCCUGCCCGGACACUGAGGUCCAGCACUGAGGGCCUUCUGGCGGUUCCCUCACUGCGAGAAGCCAAGUUACAGGGAACCAGGCAGAGGGCCUUCUCGGUAGUGGCACCCACGCUGUGGCACACCCUCCCACCAGGUGUCAAAGAGAAAAACAACUAUCAGACUUUUAGAAGACAUCUGAAGGCAGCCCUGUUUAGGGAAUCUUUUAAUGUUUAACAGACUAUUGUAUUUUAAUAUUUUGUUGGAAGCUGCCCAGAGUGGCUGAGGAAACCCAGCCGAUGAGCGGGGUAUAAAUUAUUAUUAUUAUUAUUAUUAUUAUUAUUAUUAUUAUUAUUACUUUCUGAGGCAACUAGCCCUAUCUUUCUUGAAGCACCAGUAGAGCUAUGCUGGGUCGUAAUGGUAGAAAGUUGAAAUGUGGAGUUCAACUUGUUCAGCUCAUGAGUAAGCAUUGCCAACUUUGUGUGUGUGCAGACAGCAGUUUGUCACCUUUGAAAAGCAAUGGUGGGCAAUGCUCCGAUGGAGGCUCUCUGCCUAUAAGAAAUGCCUUUUACCAGAUACAGCUGGUACAACAGCUAUAGCUGUUCCAGGACAAGGAUAGUCUGGCCACGGUGAUCCAUGCAUUGAUAACCUCAACACAUGACCUAGUGGUGCAGCAAUAGAACUGCUGGCACAUUGGCAAAGCUAAGCAAGGUCUAGUACGGUUUCAAACUGGAUGGAGGGGCCAUGUGUUGAGAUUCCUGUCUUGCAGGGGGUUGGACGGGAUGAACCUCAGGGUCCCUUCCCACUCUACAAUUCUAUGAUUGCAAUGUGCGCUGUGUGGAGCUAGCCUUGGCCCUGGUCCAGAGGCUUCAGCUGGGGCAAAACAUUGUGGCUGGACUAUUGAUGGGGACAGAUUAUCACCAGCACACAACCCCAUUGCUCAAAAGUCUGUGCUGGUUGUCUAUACACUACCAGGCCAGGUUCAAGUUUAGUGUAUUAAUUUAUAAGGCCCUUAAUAAUUUGGGUCCAGGAUUUGUUGUUGUUUAGUCGUUUAGUCGUGUCCAACUCUUCGUGACCCCAUGGACCAGAGCACGCCAGGCACUCCUGUCUUCCACUGCCUCCCGCAGUUUGGUCAAACUCAUGCUGGUAGCUUCAAGAACACUGUCCAACCAUCUCGUCCUCUGUCAUCCCCUUCUCCUUGUGCCCUCCAUCUUUCCCAACAUCAGGGUCUUUUCCAGGGAGUCUUCUCUUCUCAUGAGGUGACCAAAGUAUUGGAGCCUCAGCUUCAGGAUCUGUCCUUCCAGUGAGCACUCAGGGCUGAUUUCCUUAAGAAUGGAGAGGUUUGGUCUUCUUGCAGUCCAUGGGACUCUCAAGAGCCUCCUCCAGCACCAUAAUUCAAAAGCAUCAAUUCUUCGGCGAUCAGCCUUCUUUAUGGUCCAGCUCUCUGAGAGCUGGGUCCAGGAUACAGUCCCUUAUAUCCCUUCCUGAUAACUAAGGUCAUCAGAGGAGGCUGUGUGUAGUAUUGUGAGUCCAAUUAUGUGGCACUCCUUUCCUGUUGAGGCUCCAUCUCUACUGAAAUUCCAGUGCCUACUGAAGCCUUUUAAAAAAAAUAUUGCAGCAGGCAUUUUAGGUUUGAUUGCAUGGUUUUAACCUACUUUUAUCUUUUGUACUGUAUCUCUGCAAACCACUUAAGAGACUAUCAUACCUUGAAGUAGAUCACAGCGCUUCUUUACAUAUUAAAAAGCAACAACCCAAAACUCUUAACCCCAGCUACUUUACAGAUAAAAAAGCCAAACCUCUACCCCCAAGAAGGUGGAUUUGCUGAACCAAGCAGAGACAGACAAAGACUGGCUUGAAGAACACAUUCCUUUCUUAGUCAGAUUGCUGGCUAAUAGCCCAGGAUCUUUGGUUGAUAUUUCAACUGUGAGAGCUAAUGAUUAGGAGAUGGCCUCCUCAAGAAUGAGGAAAUCUCCCUGUUUCCAAAUGAAAUACUCACCUGAGCUUGGAGUAGCACUGACCCAAGACAUUUUGCUGCUGAGGAACAGGGCAAGAUGGUGUCCUUUCCUCAAUUCUGUGUACUGAAGCCAACCGGACUUGCAGAUGAAUAUUGCUUCAAUGGUGGCAACAGGACAGCCUCCCCUAGGCUAGUUUAGGGGCAGCAGGGCAGGGUGUGUGGUGCCUCCAAUGAACAGGCAUGGUCAAGGGACUCUGGAAGAAGGGACACACAUCUUCUCCCCUGAGGCCACCACCUCUCUUUGCAUAAUGGUAGGGCCAGGAUUGACCCUAUACCCAUCCUUCAGAGGGGAGGGGUCAGUUGUGUAAUGAGAAACAGCACUGGGCAGUUUUGAAAGCCCAGAGGCAGGGAGAGAUGUCAGUCGGCGAAAGGUGACUAUUACAUCACUUUAAACAGUUGUGCUUCUCCCAGAGGAUCCUGGGAUGUGAAAGGUGAUAUAGAAAAAAUAGGGGUGGUUGGCUUUUGCUGCCCAACUCCCCAAGGGACUGAAUCCCCCAUGAUCGGUCAGAGAUGAAUGGAUGGAGACAAGAUGCAGUGAAAACAAGGCAGAUCUUUAUUUUUCUGUUGCAACAGAGUUCCCUCGCCUUCUUGCAAGGAGGCAAGAGAGACCCAGAACCAGGAAGAAACAUCUCUUUUAAAGGUUUGCAUUUUGGCGUGGAGAGGAAGCACAUCCCCUCUAUAACAAAGGACCCCAUGGUGGUUAAAUCCAGUCAAAGGCGACUAUAGAGUGUGGUGCUCAUUUCGCUUUUCAGGCCGAGAGAGCCGGCGUUUGUCCACAGACAGCUUUCCAGGUCAUGUGGCCAACAUGACUAAAUGGCCAUUGAUGCACAGAGGAUGAGUGCCAGAGUGCACGGAAACGCUGUUUACCUUCCCGCUGCAGCGGGAUCUAUUUAUCUACUUGCGCUGGUGUGCUUUCGAACUGCUAGGUUGGCAGAAGCUGGGACAGAGCAACGGGAGCUCACCCCAUCACAUGUAUUCGAAUCGCCGACCUUCUGAUCAGCGAGCCCAAGAAGCUCAGUGGUUUAGACCACAGCACCACCUGCGUCCCAGAUGCUAGGAACUGUAGUUUGGUAAGGGUCCUGAGAGUUGCUAGGAGACGCCAAUUCUCCUCACAGAGCUACAAUUUCCAGAGUUCCCAGAGAGAAGGAAUACCAUAAUUGAAUGUUAAACCACUCUGUGAAGGGAACAGGAGUCUACUAACAACAUAUCAGCAGCAGAGGCUGAAGUUAUGUUACGCAAACUCUGCACCCCCUCACAAAUGACUUGUCUAAGGCCAUGCAAGGAACCCACAGCCAGAAGGGCGGGGUAUAAAUAAAUUAUUAUUAUUAUUAUUAUCUAUGUCAAGGGUAGGAUUUGAACCUGCUUCCCCUUUAGACCAACUCAAAAAGCAUCCAUGCUAACUCAUGAGAGAAAGACACUUCGUAUCUCAUAUUUUAUGAGCAUUGCCAUUUUAAAUAUGCUGAAGACGCAUGUCGCACUGUCUUGCCCUGAUCUUUGACACCUGAGGGGGGGGUGGACCCACCCUAUUAUUGCACCUGUAUUUUUGUUUAAAACUGUUUUUAAUACUGAUGUAACCUGUCCAGGGACCUAACUGUGAAAGGUGGGUAAGAAAUAACAACAACAUGCAGCAAUGUUGAAGUUUCUUAUGCAUGCUUCUUGCUUCCGAUAUCAAUAAAAAUCUCUACAAAAAAGAGCCUCAGAUUCUUUAAACAAUCAGCCCCCUUUAUAGGACCAUUACCCUCCCAGGAUACUCUGUUAACUGUGGUCAACCUUGAACAAAGGAACUUCAAAAGACAACUGGCCUAACUACAGACUGGGAAAAUGAUCACAGUUGCCUAUUAGUGGUGAUUCACGAACCUCAGGAUGCCCACAACUCAGAACAACCACUUUAUGUCUACAAAAGCUGACGCCAUGAUAAAUUUAUUAGUCUUUAAGGUGCCCCAAGACUCUUUGGACGUUUCCAGACUGCCACUGUUUUGGGGUGAGAUUCAGUCACAAACGGGCAAAUGCAGGUUGCACAGUUAAAGUUGAUUUGGCACUCUUGCUCAAGAAACCUGCUCCCCGCAACCCCCCGCCCAAAAAAUAUCCCAGACUUUUUGUAAUAAGGGAAGUGGGGAAAUACCUUCAAAGCAGGUCGGGGAAUAGCGGGAUGGCGGCGCUCCACCUCCCCGCUGUCCCCCGAGCUAGUGGGGCUGGCGAUGGGGGGAAGUGCGCUUCUCCCCACCGCCAACCUCCAAAGCUGGUCUCCGCCAGAGGUGGGAGAGCUUUGGGGUGCAGGCAGCUCUCCCACGGCUUGCGGACAGCUUCCUGAAGCCUGGAGAGCGAGAGGGGUCAGUGCACACUGACCCCUCUCGCUCUCCAGGCUUCAGCGAAAGCCUGCAUUUGCCCCAUAGGACGCACACACAUUUCCCCUUCAUUUUUGGAGGGGAAAAAGUGCGUCCUAUAGGGCGAAAAAUACGGUACAUUGGAAAGUGUGGGUUAGCAAUUGCUUGACCCACAAGCAAAGGAUGAGGGGCAUAGCUCAGUGGUAGAGCAUCUGCUUUUCAUGUGGAGGAUCCUAAAUUUAAUUCCAGUAUCUCCAGCUAUCCCCAGUCUCUGCAGAGCUGCUGCCUACCAGUGUAAACAAUACUGCCCUAGAUGGACCAAUGUUCUGACUCAGUAUAAGGCAGCUUCCUACAUUCCUAAAUCAGAAUGAAGUACAGUAAAAAGCCAGUAAAAAGCCGACUGGGUUCAACCUCCCCACAAACUUUGUGGAAACUGAUCGGGAUGAAUGCUCAAUAAACAGGUUGUCUGCAAGCAACCUCCAUUACUUUAUCUUUUGUUGGUAGCCUCUGGUUUACACAAAGAAUUUGUUGAAUGUAGCCUCUGUUUGCUUGGGCUCUAAGCUCGCAAGGAAGGAAACAAAGUUAAGAUUAGAGUCAUUCCAGUCUUUGGGGCUGUGGAUAUAAAUAACUGACAAUGCACAAGAUAAUAAGUGUUUCUGAUUGCUCAGGACAUGUCAACAAACCCAUCCUCCACAAUUUCAGCAUUUGGUAUGUUUCUAAACUUACACAAACGGGUUUUUUUUUGGUGAGGUAGGGCAUUUCUCUUGCUUCCUAAUAGUUGUAGCGUGGGGAAUAAGGCGUUUACACCAGCUGCUUUCAUUUCUUGGGCUUUAAAGCAGUGGCUUAUUUUUUCCUUCUUCGAAAGAGGUAGUCGAGUUAGUCCGUUGCAGCAAAAACAAAUGUGCCUGCCAACUUUAGGAUAACAGUUCAUGCAUCAAGAUGAAGGGGAGACUGGUUCAUCCAAGCCUGAGCUAUGAUAAAUCUGUUUGCCUCCUAGAUGCCAGCGGAGUCUUUGAUGUUCUUUUCUCCAAAGGUGCAAAGUGGACUCAGCAGGGAGCGGGGAUGCACACCUCUUCAAUUAAAUGUCAUAAAACAUUGUCUACAGCUAAUCUCAACCUCACACUUAAAUGCAACAUGAAUGUUGAUAAGUUUCCCUUAAACCACGGCUCAGAAGCGCAGAUUGUUCAGUUCCAUAAACUCUCUCCAGCGCAACGACAAUGGAGCUAAAAUGGUUCAGAUGUAAACCUCUUAGUUCAUCUUAGUACCAUUAUUAUGGUAGUGAGAGCCAGUGUGGCAUAGUGGUUAGAGUGUCAGACUAGGACCCGGGAAACCAGGGUUCAAAUCCCCACUCGGCUGUGAAACUCACUACGUGACUUUGGUCUAGUCACUGCUUCUCAGCCUAACUCACAGGGCGGUUGUUGGGAUUAAAUGGGAAAGGGGGGAACCAUAUACUGUAUACAGUGGAACCUCGUGUUACAUACCGUCCUCCUUACGAACACUUCGGGUAAUGCGCUCUGCUAACCCAGAACUAGAUGCCGCUUGUUGCGAACUUUGCCCCGGGAUGUGAGUGGAAGUCGUGUGCCGGUGGCGUGGCAGCAGUGGGAAGCGCCAUUAGUGAAAGCGCACCUCAUGUUAAGAAUGGUUUUGGCUUAAGAACGGACCUUUGGAACGGAUUAAGUUCGUAACGGGAGGUACCACUGUAUCACCUUGAGGUCCCUGGAGAAAAAGGUGGGAUAGAAACUAAACAAACAAAUAAAUUACUGGGGAAAGAAGAAGCCCAGGAAAGGGAGGGAGAGAGGGAGGGAGGGGAAGACAACACCAGAAACCUAAUCCUGUCCCACUUGUGAUAGUGGUUCCACAAGGGCCAGCAUUGAUGCCGAAAGCCAGCAUCGCCUGAGCUCUGCGAGUGCGGCUUUCUCCCGACUGAAGUGCAGGGUGUUUGAGGACCGGGACAUUCGCAGGGAAACCAAAAUGCUUGUUUACAAAGCUACCAACCUUACUAUAUGCUUGUGAAACAUGGACCACUUAUAAACGCCAUCUCCAACUCCUCAAAAGAUUCCAUCAACGGUGCCUCCGAAAAAUUUUACUUGGGAAGACAGGCAAACUAAUAUCAGUGUAGUUACAGGUAGGUAGCCGUGUUGGUCUGCCGUAGUAUAAACAAAAUAAAUUUUAAAAAAUCCUUCCAGUAGCACCUUAGAGACCAAUUAAGUUUGUUAUUGGCAUGAGCUUUCGUGUGCAUGCACACUUCUUCAGAUACACUGAAACAGAAGUCACCAGACCCUUAUAUAUAGUGAGAGAGUGUGGAGGGGUAUUCAUCAGUAUUUGCGUUUUUUGCUGUGGUGAGGGCACGGAGAAUCCACCCAUAUUGUCCUUUUGUAGGUUCCAUGUGCUGGGUAUCUACCGUAAUCCAAGAGGAUAUUUUGCUCUGUAAAUGUAAGGUUGUUCCGUAUAGUUCUGUUGAUGGUUUCAGUUACCUUCUGCCAAAAAUCUUUCAAUACAGGACAAUGAAAAAACAGAUGUUUUAGAGAAGCAUUAGCCCUAUUGCAUCUCCAACAGUUAGAUACCUUAGAUAGCCCUUUUUUAAACAAACGUAAUGGGGUCCAGUAUAUUCUAAAUAUUAUUUUUUGUUGUAUAAGCCUCAGUUUAAGAUCCAGAGAGACCCUUGUUAUAGCAGUUAAUGGGUUUGAAUCUCAAUCUAAGGCAGGGAUGGGGAACCUACGGCCUUCCAGCUGCUGCUGAACUACCGUAUAGCAUUAGAGAAUCAUCAAUGUAGAGCUGGAAGGGACCCCAGGGUCAUCUAGUCCAACCCUCUGCAAUGCAGGAAUCUCAGCUAAAGCAUCCAUGACAGACGGCCACCCAACCUCUGCAUAGAAGCCUCCAAAGAAGGUUGGACCAUUGACUGUGGUGGAUGGAGCUGACGGGAGCUGAAGGCCAUAGGAUUCCCCACUCCAAUCUGAGGCUAUACUUCUCAGAUAGAUCCCCAAUAUAAGGCUGCUUUUGUUUGAUGCCACCCUUAAAAAGGUCUCAAAUGGUGGUGUCAACUGGUCAUAAAUAAAGUACCGUAUUUUUUGCACCAUAACACUCACUUUUUUCCUCCUAGAAAGUAAGGGGAAAUGUCUGUGUGUGUUAUGGAGCGAAUGCCUGCGGGUGGCGGGGGGGAUCUGCUGCAGUCGUGAGCAGAGGAUCCAUGGUUCCCCUUCCUUCCCUCCUCCGUGGUUACAAAGCAUGGAUCCACAUGGAUCUUCAGGAUUUUGCAUUGGGCUACUCCAAACUCACUGUCAGAUCACAUGUCUGUGGCCACAGCAUGAACCACAAAAAUCAUAUAUCCACUAUUUCGUUUAGAAUAUUUUUUUUCUUGUUUUCCUCCUCUAAAAACUACGUGCGUGUUAUGGUCUGGUGCAUGUUAUAGAGCGAAAAAUACGGUACUGGGGCCUGCUCCUCUGCCUUUGAAAGAAGCUUGCUACACAGAAAGAAGUGGGUGAAAGAAAGUUUUUAUAUCAAGGAGCUGCUUCACAUAACCACAUACUCCUUGCUGCACUGUUUAAUGCCCAUUCAUGCUGCAGGGGCCAAUUUAAAAGUUAUCCAUCCCAGUUCAAAGGGAGGUCACGGAAGCUCUCUCCCCAUUUUGUUCCAUUCUCCCCACCUCUCUCCUCGCCCUCCAUACUUCCCUUUUAUUUUGCAAACGAGUAUAGUCUCCUUAAAAUGGCAACUUGAGGAUAAAACCUAGACAUCUUUCAGCUCUAACUGCCUCGGGAAGCUCUGGGGGAGGGAAUUAGCAGCACAAGGAGGGAAAUAUUGUCAACGCAUAAUGAUAUUUUGUUUUGUACAUCUGCCACCGUUAUUCCGCUAACUGGCGUUUUCUAAUUUAAUUCUGGGAGCCAAAGGCUGGAGAUAAUUGCCCUUCCUUCCAGUGCUUCUUCUGUCUGUAAUAUAAAUCAAAGAAAGUGCAUGCUCUAAAUUGGGGUCCUGAACCAAGAGAUCAUUGAGAAGACGUUUCAUUUGCUAAGGGCCUUGCCAAAAUAAAUGGUGUGCAGCUGGACAGAAAGGUAACCCUGGAUAUUGAUGAGAACAAGGGUAAUGAAGUCAAAUGUGCCACAGACAGACUGUUGGGGGCAUCCAUCUCUCCCUCUUACCCCCGCCACAAGCUCAGCAUAUACUAGAAAUAUGAAAUCACUUGAAAAUGCUUCAGAAUCAUAAAAACCACAUGCCCGCAAGAUUAAAGGUUCUUGUCACUGAUACUGUGAAGUCCACGUUCAUAAAAUCUUCCUCCACUGGUGGGGGCGGGGGGAGUAGCUGUUUAGAAGGCUAUACAAGCCAACAGCCCAAGAUCUGGCUGGUUAUUCCAAAUAAACACAGGACUUUUCUCCUGUCCUUCCUCUUGGCAUUUUCCCAGAAGAAGAAAAUUCUCUGUCUGUGUACACAUCCCUGUUCCCACCGCUCGGAAACACGCUGGCGUUUGAAGCCGUGAGCACAUGACGUUAGCCACAAUCCAUAUCUCUCCUGUGGUUUCUUGAGAAAUGUUGCCAUUCGAUGCAUUUUUCCCAGAAACCAACUUCCAUCUAAUUUGAAAACAUAGGUCACAUACACCUCACAGUGAAGCUGAGGUGUGCAUAUUUGAAAUCACUGUUGUGCUUGUGCAAGUGACAGCUUCGUGAAGAGUUUCUUAGAUUUCCACAUGUGCCUCCAGCAUGCUGGGGGACCAUUGGAACAGCCAAAGGAAAAAGGCCUGGAAGAUCUGGAAAUAGUAGCUGAGCAGGUGCCCCAGAAAUGAUGUUCCAAUAGGAAGGGGCAGCAAAGGAGACCAGACAGACAUUUCUAGGGUCAAAAAGAGUAAUGGAGAGAAGGUGACUGACAUUUGGGGAUGGUUUGUGUGCCUUAAACAGCUGCAUGACAAGCAGAAAUCCAGGAGGUGACACUCUCCAUAUUGCAGUGUCAAAUCACCACCUAGAAUCAAAGAAUUGUAGAGUUGGAAGGGACCCUAAGAGUCAUCUAGUCCAACCCCAGUGCAGGUAUCUCAGAUAAAGCAUCCAAGACAGAUGGCCAUCCAACCUCUGCUUAGAAACCUCCAAUGAAGCAGAGUCCUUCUUCUUUUUCUUCUUUGGCGAUCACUCGUAGCCGAGUAAGAUUGUCUUCCAUGAACACAAUUUUAACAGUGGGUCCGUAAGUGAUUGUGGAGGCCAAUUCUGGAUCCACACAUCCUUCCACAGUGGGGAUAUAGGUUUCCGGGCAGGAGUUGAUCAUGGUGUGGAUUUGCCAAGUGUGCCUUCCUCUUAGCACGUUUCUCCCUUGCGUCCUGAGUUCGAGUAUCUUUAAAGCCCAUGACACCUUUGGUAAAGACCAGGGGUCAGCAAACUUUUUCAGCAGGGGGCCAGUCCACUGUCCCUCAGACCUUGUGGGGGGCCGGACUAUAUUUUGAAGGGGAAAAAAUGAAUGAAUUCCUAUGCCCCACAAAUAACCCAGAGAUGCAUUUUAAAUAAAAGCAUACAUUCUACUCAUGUAAAAACACACUGAUUCCCAGACUGUCCGCGGGCCGGAUUUAGAAGGCGAUUGGGCCGGAUCCGGCCCCCGGGCCUUAGUUUGCCUACCCAUGGUAAAGGCUGUUCUUCAACCUCCUGAGGGAGUUUGUUCUACUGUCAAUCAGCUCUUGCUCACCAGCUUAAAUUAUGUUCAGGAAACCGCUGUAGCAGGUCAACUGGUCAGUCUAGCCCAAAAUUUAUUACUCCGCUGGGAGUUACCGUAAUCUCCAGGGUCUCAAGCAGAGGGGCUUUCCCAUCCUUUAAUGGAAUAUGCUGGCGACUGAAUCUGUGGGUGAAGCAGAUGUCCUACCUCUCAGCUACGCUUCCUAUGGGAGAGGGUCAUAGCUGUGUGUGGUACAUCUGCUUUGAAUGCAGGAGGUUUCAGGCUUAAUCUUCAGGCAGGGAUGUGAUUAUUACCCUGUCUGAAACCCUGGAAAGCCACUGCCAGUCAGUGUCAAAAAUACUACUGGACCAGACAGACCCAUGAUCUGACUCAGAACGAGUGUCAGUUCAAGUCACCGCUUCUUCCUUAUCAACAUUCAGCACUAAGUGUUGCUGCCUAAGUAGCCAAAAGGCUGCUUUCAUCACCCAAAUGGAAGAAGGAAGUCUUUUUUUUUUUUAAUAAUUUUUAUUAACAAACCAAUCAAAUCACAUUAAUUCCAAAUUACAGAGCCAAAUUUUAAAUUUUUGUUGGGGGUACCCAUAUUUUGAGCUCCGAAAGGGAUCCGAUCAUCUUAUUGCUGCUGCUUUGAUGUUCACAGUUCUGUCCAAAUAAUCUUCACAAUUCUAUCCAAUCCUCUCUUUGUUGUUUUCCUCAUCUCUUCUUGUUGUUUUCGUAUAUUUUUCCCUUCUCUUUGUGACCUCUGAUGGAAGAAGGAAGUCUUAGCAGGCUUGAGGAUGCAAUGUUUCUGCAAUGUUUGCAGAAAUAAUUAAAAAAAUAAACUUCAGAAAGAAUACAUAAGGGAAGAGAACCCACGAUGGUUGCAGGAGCAUGGAAUAAUGAUUCACCUUAGAAGGAAUGGGAAACUAAGAAGAAUGGGAAAUGGAAUGGAAGACCGGAGUGCCUGGCGUGCUCUGGUCCAUGGGGUCACGAAGAGUCGGACAUGACUAAACGACAACAACAACAACAACAAAUCAACAUAGGAUAUGGCUGGCUGAUUAGAAAACUGCAACAUUUUAUUCCCAUACCUGCUUGUUUAGCUUAAAUUUCCCCAUAUUGGACUAGUUCCUGGUUAUGGGGACAUUUCCCCAUAUUGGACUAGUUCCUGGUUAUGGGGAAGUGUGCAAGCACAUUCUGGGAAAUACACAUAAAAGUCUCCUUCAGACCUUGCCCCCCAAGGUGAAAGGUGGGGCCAGCUGCAAUUCUUCCUGCAUGCUUGAUAAUGCCUGAAGAGAGCUUCUGUUGUUAUAAAAAGAGCUAAACUGCUGCCAGAGGCUGGGCAAGCAAGUUCUUGAAAGAUCAACAGUGGAGCUGAAACAGAUCAAAACAAACACCUAUCCAAAUAUAUACCAAUUAUAGGGAAAUGAUGUUAUUGCUUCACCAAGUUGUCAUUCCAGAGAGGGUUAGUUUUAUUGGCCUGUACAAACUUCAGAUACUCCUCAACUGCCUUUUUGAGAUAACUGCUACCAGCUGCAGUAAAACAAUCUCAGUCUUCGAUAGCAAUCAUUACAGGUUAAAGGCCUUCAGCAUAUCUGAACCCAUUAAGUUAACUCAGUUUCCUUGAUCAGAAGUUGCAAACGUACCAUAUUUUUCAGUGUAUAAGACGAGGUUAUUUUAUUUUAAAAUUAUGCUAAAAAUUUGGGGUCAUCUUAUACCCGGAUAGUGGAGAGGUGGGAUGGGCGAUUGGUGGCUGCCGCGAGCAGGAGAUUGUCAGUGGCGUUUUUGUGGGUGAUUGGUGGGUGCGGCAAGGUCCACUGGCUAUUGGCUGCUACGGCAAUUGGGUGUGUGUGAUUGGUGCUUGCUUUCAUUGAGCAUGCAGACAAUUGGUUGCUUUGUCGAUGUGCGUGCGAUUGGCUGUGCCAGUCCUGCAGGUGAGCGAUUUUCAGCAACCCCCCUGAAAAAGCUCAAGAUGUCUGGGCAAUUCCCCCCCCCCCAAAAAAAAGCUCUGCAACUGUGUGCAAUCCCCUCACAAAAAUGCUCAACAACCCUGGGCAAUCUCCCCCCAUUUUCUCAAUUUGGAAUCCCCCAAAAGUCUUAUACAUGGGAGCGUGUUAUACAGUGGUACCUCUAGUUACAAAAUUAAUUCAUUCCGGAGGUCCGUUCUUAACCUGAAACUGUUCUUAACUAGAGGCGUGCUUUCGCUAAUGGGGCCUCUUGCUGCUGCUGUGCCGCCGGCACACGAUUUCCGUUCUCAUCCUGGGGCAAAGUUCUCAACUCGAGGUAACUCUUCCAGGUUAGCGGAGUUUGUAACCUGAAGCGUUUGUAACCUGAGGUGGUACCUCAGGUUACAUACGCUUCAGGUUACAUACGCUUCAGGUUACACACUCUGCUAACCCAGAAAUAGUGCUUCAGGUUAAGAACUUUGCUUCAGGAUAAGAACAGAAAUUGUGCUCUGGUGGUGCAGCAGCAGCAGGAGGCCCCAUUAGCUAAAGUGGUGCUUCAGGUUAAGAACAGUUUCAGGUUAAGUACAGACCUCCGGAACGAAUUAAGUACUUAACCCGAAGUACCACUGUACACGGAAAAAUACGGUAAGUUCACACUUGUCACCUGUGACCAUUAGCCCUGCUGGCUGGGGCUGAUGGGAGUUCAGCAUCUGGAAGGCUACAGGUUUCCUGCUCCUUCCUGCCUUAGAGAGCAAACUAGUCAAGAAGCUAGACAAGAACUUUAUUGUUUCCAUCAAGAACUGAAGAGUAACAACACUAUCCACGCAACACUCACUGCAGGUUUCUUAGAAAGGAACAAGAAGAACCUGCAGGAUCAGGCCAAUGGCCCAUGUAGUCCAGCAUCCUGUUCCCACAGUGACCAACCAGAUGCCUGCGGGAAACCUGCAAGCAGGACUUGAGCACAACCACACUCUCCCAUUCUGUGGUUUCCAGCAACUGAUGUUCAGUUGCAUUCGCCGCAUGCAUCGCUGUUUCCAUUUCGCUGCAGUUCAGCUUCUGCCAAAAACGACGUAAUUCAACUUAAAGUCUGCUGUGGUGGAAUUAGGUAAAUUGCAUUACAUUAUUCCACCCUGUUCAUUUAAUUGCAAAGGGUGUGUAAUGCCAAUGGUGGCGGGAGGACACACACAAUCGAUAGCAUAUCAUUUGUAGGCUAAAGGCAACGGUAGCAAACACCAAUUGUAUUUGCUGGAUUGAUAUCAGUUCCAGACAGGGGACAAAUUAGUGAACACCAGCAAGUUCCAUUUUCCUCAGAAUUCUCUGACAUCUCUACCUGCAAGAGAAUGUUAUAGCCAAACAUGUUGUUCACGCUUUCCCCCACCCCACCGCUCUUUACAUCUGAUCCCAAGGACCAUAAUUAUUUUAUGAGAGGUCUGGAAAAUAAGGUGCAAUGGUCUUGACCUAGUUCACAAUGUUUGGUUUUGAAGUAGUAAAAUUUGCCUACACCAAGAAGCUGCAAAAGCUGAUUGCUUGCUACGCUGGGGAAAAUGCAUGCAGGGUUAUCUCUGACACAGUAACUACCGUAUGUCACAAAAAAAUAUGAUUUUCAGGCUUAAAGAACCUUGUUUUCGGUUUAACAUUAAAUCUGCAGCAGGAGAUUUAGCAACCACCGAAUGUCAUGUUCUUUCUGUGCAUCCAGACCUCAAAUCCAUUGCCACAGCUCCCAGAAGUCUUUGGGCGGAAGCCAUGAUGACUGCUUGAAGUGAUAACAGGUAACAUCUUGGCCAUUUCACCCUGCAAAAUGCUUCCCAGCAACAGGAAGGAGCUUGGGAAAAUCUUCUGGGUGGAAGAACUGGAGUGUUAGAAAUGUACAACUGCCCUUAUUUUCACCUGCGAAGUGCUGGAGAGUGUAAUGUUUGCAUGUCUAUUCAAAGCCAUGCCCAUUCGACUCUGGCGGUGAACACGGCUGGCUCACCCAACUCUUGAGGUCCAUGGAGGGCUCCAGGUCACAAAGCAAGUUGUUGUUUUUGCUCUGCCCCCCACAAAACACCGAUAAUUCAGCAGUUGUGUUUGUCAUGUCAGAUUGCACUCCCACAAGACAGCUUGCUGAAUAGGGAAAUCCUGUCUGGAACAAGAUGAGGACGGGAGGGCUCUGUUUGAGUUAUCACAUCCCAAAGCUUUGUUUGCGGAUGCAGAAAGCUUAUCACAAAGUUUAAAGUUUUAAAAAAGCACACAAGAGGGAAACAGCAAAAGAAAUGAAAAUAAAUACAGUGCAACUUCAGCAACAGAAAUGUUGGCAUCUGUUUCCAAACACGCCUCCAGAUUAUUGCUCAAAUAUUAUGCUAGUUAUAGAUAAACUGGGCAUAUCUAGACGGGGAGUGCUAUGUUAGUUCAAAUUUGUUGAUUAAAUGUCUCAUUCUACAAAUGCACCUAUUUAUUAAUUUCAGUCACAUCCACGCCGUAUAUUGAAAGCACAUUAAAAAUGUAAGGGAUCAUGGGCAUAGCCAGGAUUUGGGGGGGGGGCAGGCCUUUUGUUUGGGGGGGCGCAGAACCUCAGCUAGCUACGUAUUUUUAUUUUUAUUUUAUUUUUUUAGGGGGAGGCCCCUGCCCCCCCCGCCCCCCCAUUUCGUUCCCCUUGCUCUCUACUUUUUAACUGAAAAGAACUUCUAACUGCUUUCAAGGACUAUCAAGUUUAGAGGACUCUCAGUGAAUCUUGCCUUAUAAGUUUGGGAUUCAGGUCUCAUCUUGGAAGUACAACAAGGGAAAUAGCUACGCAAAUUACCACGAUGAUUAGCACAACAGAUCACCCUCUGAUGAAUCACGUAUCAGCAUAUACAGUGGUACCUCAGGUUACAUAUGCUUCAGGUUACAUACGCUCCAGGUUACAGACUCCGCUAACCCAGAAAUAGUGCUUCAGGUUAAGAACUUUGCUUCAGGAUGAGAACAGAAAUCGGGCUCCAGUAGCGCGGUAGCAGCAGGAGGCCCCAUUAGCUAAAGUGGUGCUUCAGAUUAAGAACAGUUGCAGGUUAAGUAAGGACCUCCGGAACGAAUUAAGUACUUAACCUGAGGUACCACUGUACCAGUAUUUAGCUGCUGAAGUAUUGCCCAGCCCUAGCACUAAAUCUCGGCUGCUGCUUCCCGCCUUAUUACUACUACUACUACUCCUCAUAACUACUUAUUACUACUGCUACUACCUCCUGGCAAAUAGAAGGGGAAGAAAUGGAGGCAGUGAGAGAUUUUACUUUCUUGGGCUCCAUGAUCACUGCAGAUGGUGACAGCAGUCACGAAAUUAAAAGACUCCUGCUUCUUGGGAGAAAUGCAAUGACAAACCUAUUCCUCACAACUACUAACAGCUGUGACAGGAGAGGAACUGCAGCUAGAACAACUACAAAGCAGGCAUAAAUUUUGCCCUUCACUGCUGCUGUCUGAGCAAGAGAGGAGAGUCACCUUUCCCACCGAUUUACAACAGCUGAGCUUCACAGCGGACUUCUGGGUGGUGCGGGGAGGUUUUUGACGUGACUUACGGGUUAGCAAUGUCUGUGCUAGGAAGGGUUAGUGUUUGAGCUUUUAUUUUUCUCUGCAGGUUAGUGGGAGUAUAAUUCUAUUUGAUUUGUGUCCCUGUGUUGCCAAUGUUGUUAUCAAUGCCUUUGCUUGUUUAUGUUUAACCCGCUUCUGUUUUAUAAUGUGUUUAUGUAUAUGUUCCUCAGUCUAAGUCCCUUGGGAGACCUUGUAGGUGACCAGCGACUAAUAAGAUUAAUAAAUAAAUACUCUGUGUGUGUGCACACAUAUUGUGCAACAUCUCCGCCAUCCCCAGUUAUCUCAAAGGUCCACACGCAAGUCGCAGCAAGGAACUUAAUCUCUGCUUUCCUUAUCAGGCAUGAUGCCUGCAAGGUCUGUUUCUUUUAGAUGGCAAGACCUCUCAUCUGGGAUAAGCCUAUCAGCAGAUCUCGUGCCGUCAAGGCACCAAUACCUUCUUGUUUGCCACAAAGGGCAUUUUCCUUCUUAGAGAAUAAGGACCUGCAGCUUUGCACGUUACACAAAUCCCUCUUGUCUCACGCGCUUCCCCAGCAAAGCAGGCCUGGUCCAACCUUUUGAGGUCCUAGGAGCUGCCUUGUCAAAAUGUUUCUGUACAUCAGAGAUGCUGCACGGUCAGGAUUUCACAGCAAAGAAGAGAUAGUCUCCUCUAACAUAGUAUGCAAUGCAUCAACUGAAGCACUGGUCUUCCAGUGAGCUGUGGCCUGAUGAUCCAAGGUGGGUUGUCACAGGACCAUGGGCACCAUUCAAAUACAGGAGUUUCCUGCCGCCAAUCAGAAGCCGCGAUUUGGUUUAUGAACGUUUUGGAAGUCGAACAGACUUCUGGAACAGAUUCCGUUCGACUUCCAAGGUACAACUGUAUAGGGUGAAAAAGCAAGAGAUUUCCCUCACAUUGCUACAGUUCUCAGGUUGGUUUUACAAUCACUUUUUAUUUUUGGGGGGUCCCAGGGAACUCUGAGAAUUGUGGCUCUGUGAGGGGAAUAGUAACUCUCAGCACCCUUAAUGAACUACUAUUCCCAAUAUGCGUGACUCUUAAAGUGGUAUGAUACUACUUUAAAUAGUCCAGAUAUGGCCCUGUAGUUUGAUAGCAGUUCUAAUCACCUUGUGUGCUUUUUGUGUGAACUGAGGAAGCUGGAAGUGCUGAAACAUUUUUUUUUUAAAAUCCUUUAGAAAUGGUGUGGGAAUCCUCUUUCCUAGGAAAAUAAUUGACCAAUGGGGAAAGCCUAUUGGGUGAGUUGAGCCAGAGCCAAAACUGAGCCUGUUUGUUGUACUGUAUGAUUUUAUAAUUCUCAUUCUUUCUCCACGUCCCCAUUUCUGCAGAUUGCAUGAAAUUAGGUCGAGGGCACAUGUGGUAUGCAUACCAUAGCAAUGGCCUACAUUCUAAUGUUCAGAAUUAGGCCAUUCUAAAGUUCAGAAUUAGGCCAUUCAUUGCUGUGGCAUGCAUACCUCUCUGCUCAGCUUAGCAGAGGUUCUUGAGGCAAGUAGCAAAAGCGCCUUGGGAUUUUUUAAGGUUAAGAGGCGUGAAGUAAAAUUAUUCCACCAAGAUACACAAAUGAAUCACUCGGUUAGGCCCAGGUGACUUGCAAAAGCAUGUCCAAGAUAUGUAAAUGAGCAGCGGAGACAGGGGACUUUGAAAGACAUUGUAUAUACAGUACUGUAUUGAGAAUUGGGAGUAGGGAGGGAAAUGAAAGAAAGGCCUCAGGAAGAGAGCUCUGACCUCAGGCCUAGAUUCUAAAACAACUCCAUAUAUACCUUGGGUUGAAGAGCAGGGCAGCUGGAUUAAGUUCAGAGGUUAAGAUGUACACAGUGUUUGCAACUGCCUGAAAUAGUGCACUGCAUACGAAUAACGGAAAGUUCUACUUUGCAUGUUGUUCUUUAGUCGUUUAGUCUUGUCCGACUCUUCGUGACCCCAUGGACCAGAGCAUGCCAGGCACUCCUGUCUUCCACUGCCUCCCGCAGUUUGGUCAGACUCAUGCUGGUAGCUUCAAGAACACUGUCCAACCAUCUCGUCCUCUGUCGUCCCCUUCUCCUUGUGCCCUCCAUCUUUCCCAACAUCAGGGUCUUUUCCAGGGAGUCUUCUCUUCUCAUGAGGUGGCCAAGGUCUUGGAGCCUCAGCUUCACAAUCUGUCCUUCCAGUGAGCACUCAGGGCUGAUUUCCUUCAGAAUGGAGAGGUUUGAGCUUCUUGCAGUCCAUGGGACUCUCAAGAGUCUCCUCCAGCACCAUAAUUCAAAAGCAUCAGUUCUUCGGUGAUCAGCCUUCUUUAUGGUCCAGUUUUCACUUCCAUACAUGACUACUGGGAAAACCAUAGCUUUUACUAUACGGACCUUUGUUGGCAAGGUGAUGUCUCUGCUUUUUAAGAUGCUGUCUAGGUUUGUCAUUGCUUUUCUCCCAAGAAGCAGGCGUCUUUUAAUUUCAUGGCUGCUGUCACCAUCUGCAGUGAUCAUGGAGCCCAAGAAAGUAAAAUCUCUCACUGCUUCCAUUUCUUCCCCUUCUAUUUGCCAGGAGGUGAUGGGACCAGUGGCCAUGAUCUACUUCACGUUUUCAUUUAUUUAUUGAACAAAAUUUGACACACGGCUGGGUUGCACAGAAAACCUGCGGCAGCUCUGCUCUUCCCUCUUUUGGGAUGAUAUAAGAAAAAAAAAUGCUCCUUUUCCCUUAUGGGGUACCCAAGAGCCCAUAUACAGUGGUACCUCGGGUUACAUACACUUCAGGUUACAUACGCUUCAGGUUACAAACUCUGAUAAGGACUUAAGAACUUUGAUUCAGGAUGAGAACAGAAAUCGUGCUCCAGCGGUGCAGCAGCAAAAGGCCCCAUUAGCUAAAGUGGUGCUUCAGGUUAAGAACAGACCUCCGGAAUGAAUUAAGUACUUAACCCGAGGUACCACUCUAGAGUCCUUUUGUAGGUUCUCUAUCGGUAGGAGAAAAUAACAGAGACCAACCAGAGAAUACAGUGGUACCUCAGGGUUAAGUACUUAAUUCGUUCCGGAGGUCUUAUAACAGGGAAGUUAGUUCCCAACUUGGCUGAAGGUGGUUACAUGGGGUUGCCAUAUAUUGAAGAGCAAAAAAAGAGGGCAGCCCGAGCUGCUGCCAGCCUGAGCUGGGAAAAAGAGGUGUGCCUCUUUCUCUGGCUCGGGCUGACAGAGGCCACGGUGAGCAGAGCAGGCAGAGCCCCUUCCCCCCCCCCAAACCUGGACAUUUCCUUUAAAAGGUAAAAAAUCUGCCUAGAUGGGCAUGUUGGCUCCCCAGCAGAGGAUAUGUCUAGGUUUUCCCAAACGUACGACAACCCCGUUGUUGUGUUCAGGGCCAGAUUUAGGUUUGAUGAGGCCCCAAGCUACUGAAGGUAAUGGGGUUCUUUAUAUGUCCAGCUGCCCUUUGUCAACAACAAAUUGUCAACAACAAGCCGCUAUUUUUUGUGUUGAAUAUAUGCUAUAUGGUAAUUUAUGGACCAAAUAGGUCCAUACACAACACAAAAUACUUCUGCUGUAUGUAGAUUUUAUUGUAUUUGUUUUUUAUCUUAUAUUUUGGAAAUGUACAUCCAGUUUUUUCCCCUUUAAAUUUUUUAGGGGCCCCCAAGAGAGUGGGGCCCUAAGCUAUAGCUUGUUUAGCUUAUACGUAAAUCUGGUACUGGUUGUGUUGCAUCUGUGCCUGCUAAUGAACCUGGCUGGCUGCCCAGCUGGCAAGAGAGGAAGUGAGUAAUGGGAAUGCCAGACAGGCAGAAAGACUCACUCAGCCAAUCCACAAUGGGGAGGGGGAUCCCCUUAGCUGGCACCACCAAGCCAUUUCCAUUGGUUUCAGUUUGCCAUUGUGGAUGUUUUAGGCUUCUAGGAGCCAUUGAGCAUGCAAGUGGCAACAUGCACCAGCCACUGAGAGCCAAGUGAGAAGACUCUUCUGCGUGGCUCACAUGCUCUCCUUUCAUUGGCUCUCGGGAGGCUGACAUGGGGUCUUGGGGCGGGGCAGGAGGAAAGGUGAGCCAUUGACGACUCCCUACAAUCUGGGAGGACUAUACCAUCCACAUAGCUCAGGGCAGGAUGCUGCUUGUUGCCCCACUAACCUGCCACACAUUUUGUCCUCCCCUCUGCCAAAUCUGGCACUGUAUUUAAGGUGUAAAUAGUACUUUCCUUGAAUAACCAAAGUACUUUACACCCAUUUGAACUGGAGUCCAUUCCAAAGCUUUGGUAAAAGUAGGUCAGUGUGAUUUUCUUCGCAACUACAGUGGUACCUUGGGUUACAUACGCUUCAGGUUACGUACGCUUCAGGUUACAGACUCCACUAACCCAGAAAUAGUACCUCGGGUUAAGAACUUGCUUCAGGAUUAGAACAGAAAUCGUGCUCCGGCAGCGCGGCGGCAGCGGGAGGCCCCAUUAGCUAAAGUGGUGUCUCAGGUUAAGAACAGUUUCAGGUUAAGCACGGACCUCCGGAACAAAUUAAGUACUUAACCCGAGGUACUACUGCAGUACUUUUUGGAAAAUAGAGCACUCCCUGUUUCAGGAUGCCAGCCAUUCUAUUUCUUCCUCCAGAGCCAUUCUAUUUCUACCUCCAGAGUACAGUGAUACCUCGGCUUCAGGUUGAGUGCUUUUGGGUUGCGCUCCGCAGCGACCCAGAAGUAACGGAACGUGUUACUUCCGGGUUUUGCCGCUUGCACAUGCACAGAUGGUCAAAAUGACAUCGUGCGCGGAAGCGGCAAAACAUGACACGCACACGCACAGACACACUGUCGCGUCUUACAUUCUAUUUGGGAUGCGAACUGGGCUCCGGAAUGGAUGCCGUUCGCAUCUUGAGGUACCACUGUACUGGGCAUGCUCAGUUCUCAUUGGGCUGUUUUGGGUCACCUCCCCCAUUCUGAGGUUCUUGGGCCCCCUCUUGAGAUUCUUCAUGCUUCUAUAAACCUGGGGGGUCCCCUGACUUUUCUGAAACCUCCAUCCUGAGCUGUUUGGGCUGGAUCUGCAAGCAUGAAAAGGCUGUCGCCUUGUCAGGAGACAGCAGACUCAGAAUGAGAAUGGAGCUGAUUGCAGUUGUGAGGUUUUAUUUAAGUACUUCCUGAUAGUCCACUCACUUAAUCAGCAUUCUCAGCUAACUGAAAAAGCAGAAGGAAACCUGUUGUUUGACCAGCCAUACAACUACAACAUGAGAGUCCCUCCAGUAAUAGAUAGAAAUUAGGUACACACUAUAAAACCCCUGAAACAUCUUUCACGAGCGAGAACAGCAACAGAGGCUUUCAAAUCAGAUUUUUUUGAAUGGUGCAAUCCAGGGAUUGCAAUCCAGGGAUUGGGCUACCUGAAAAACCUGACAGAAGAGUCACAUUUUCUUCAAAGGAUCCCGCCCUCCAAACCAUCUGCACAGAUCUUACAAACAGAUUUAUGCAAGGGUGAGUAUAGAGGUUUGAAUAACAGUGUUGCAGGCCACCCCAAUCUCAGAGAGGUGCAAAGUUCCCGUCGCUUUCCUAGGGUUUGUGUUUCCUCAUAAUGAGUGACAGUGGAGACUGUGGUGUCUUUAUGAUAUAUGGUUUAUUUACACAUAUAUACAACCUGAGCCUACGAUGGAGGGUUUCACAGCCUUAAUACCCCAAGGCAUAGCUCUGUCUCACAGCUGCCCAGUCUGCUUCUUGCUUCUAGCGCUCUCUCACACAACUCUGGUCUUUGUCUUCUUAAUUACCAGCUGGUUGAAGGAGGGAGGCUGACGUUCUUGUCCUCUGGCACAGGGCCACUUCCUUUGUUACCUUAAUGGCCCAUACUUAGACGUCCAUUAACAAGCAACUUUUCCAGCUAUUACAGCAGUUUGAAUCCUUGCUUAGAUUUGCACCCCUGCUGGAUCCAGGAACUGGAAGGGUCUCAGGCAUACGGCCUACCCCCACCCCCCAAAAAACCACGUCAAAACAAUAUGAAUGUGUCAGGGGUUCAGGGACAGAGGCACAGGGUAGGCAGGAGAUGGAGAGCGAUGGGGAUGAAUCCCAGGACAGCGAGGAAGAGGAUGACAAUGACUCAAGAGAUUCCAUGAGUCUUUCCAGCGGAUCAGAGGAUUCCCAGAAGGGGGCGCCGGUGGUCAAGGCCAGGGGAGCCCCAGGGGGGACGUGUCAGGAGCAGGGGGCCAGCGGGGAUCCCAAAGUGGCAGCUGGGCGUCAGGACCAGCCUCCCGCCAGCGUGCAGCGAAGGGGGUGGAGGUUCCAGUGUAUCCGGGGAAGCAGCUCCGGCAGCAGAGAAGGGAGGGAGGGCGGAGCACGCCACCCCCCCGGAUGGGGUGGGGAGCAGUGACGGGAGUAGUGUAACUGUCAAAGGGACAGUUAGAGGUUGGGCGCGCGCGCCUCGUUCAAGUGUAGCGGCGCGCGGACGUGCAGGGAGUCCGGAGGCGGGGCCCGGUCCCAAAGCCCGCAGGAGGGGGAAGAGCAAUCUGGGGAUUCCGCGUCAGGGGAAUCCAGGAGGGGCGAAACCCCAGCGGGCAGGAAGACCCUGCGGAAAAGGAAAGAGAGGAAAAGGUGGAGCAGCGCAAGCCUCUUAAACUGGUGCAGGGGAGGGACUGACUCAGAGAGGACUUCAACGGUCUAAGCGUAACAGACGUGGGGUUGCGCGCCUCGGAUGUGAAGCAAACAAUGAACUCCAAUAAAUACCUUUGUAUAUAAGAAGAACUUGGCGUUGGUCUUUUGUGAGCUGAGACCUGAGGCAGCCCUGACAGAAUGUAAUGACAAUGUUACACUAACCUGCCCUAAAGUAACUGUGGUUUAUGUUGUACCAGGCAAAGGAAUACAAGCAGGAACAGCGCCUCAAAUGCAAAUAAUUAUCUGGAACCUGGAAUUUUUUUGGUGAGGCAUACAUUGGGGAUUAGGCAAACCCAGGGAGGAUUAUGGGUAUUAAUGGCUACAAGUCAAUGCAUGUAUAUUAACUCCAGAAGCAUUAUGCCUCUGAAUACAGUGGUACCUCGGGUUACAUAUGCUUCAGGUUACAUACACUUCAGGUUACAGACUCCAUUAACCCAGAAAUAGUGCUUCAGGUUAAGAACUUUGCUUCAGGAUGAGAACAGAAAUUGUGCUCCGGUGGCGCGGCGGCAGCAGGAGGCCCCAUUAGCUAAAGUGGUGCUUCAGGUUAAGAACAGUUUCAGGUUAAGAACGGACCUCCGGAACGAAUUAAGUACUUAACCUGAGGUACCACUGUACUAGGUGCUGAGGAGAACAGCAAAGCUGGGAAACUGCCCUCACAUCCUUGUGGGCUUCCCAUAUCCAUUUGGUUGGCCACUCUGAGAACCAAGGUGCUAUGAUACCACUUUAAACAAUCAUGGCUUCCCCCCAAAGAACACUGGGAGCUGUAGUUUGUUAAGGAUGCUGAGAGCUGCUAGGAGACCCCUAUUUCCCACGCAGAGGGAAAUUUCCAGAGUGGUUUUCCCUUUUUAAAGGGGACUCUGGAAAUUAUAGCUCUGGGCACCUCUCAGCACAUUUUGUUAAACUACAGCUCCCAGAAUUCCACGGGGAAGCUGUGAGUGUUUAAAGUGAGAAUGGGUGUUUGGUCUGAACCAAUUGGCCUCUUCUGAUACCCUCAAGCCAUCUGUGAUUGGAUUUCCUGUGUCACGUGGGUUACUUAUGGUGUGGCUGCUUUUAAGCUUCCUCUCUUGAACUCUUUUAGCUCAGUUGAUUAAAGUGCAGUGGCUGGUAACACCAAGGUUGUAGGUUCGAUCCCCGUACGGGACAACUGCGUACUCCUCAGGGUCCCUUCCAACUCCAGAAUUCUGUUAUUCUAAGAAAAGACGUUACUCUUCAGGGUUGCCUACCUCCUAACACUUUUGGACCUGACACACCGCCUUGGAGCUUUCUGGAAGCUGCCUUACACCAAGUCUGUCCAUUAGGUCCAUCUAACGCAGUAUUGUCUACACUGACUGGCAGCUGCUCUCCAGCGGUUUAAGGCAAGGGGCAUCCCAGUCCUACUUGGAGAUACCAGAAAUUGAACCUGAAAUUUUCAGCCUUCAAAACAGAUGCCAUAUCACUAAGCUGCAGCUUUCCCCCAAGAAAACAAAGUUUGCACAAUGGUUUUCUUUCUUUCAUCUUGUUUACCUAGGUUCCUCAAUACUGUUUGCUGGAAAGGUUAGGAUAAGCAACAGAGAAGUUGAAAUAGCAGAGAUAGCUGCAGGAUUAAAGCAGAUUCACGUGUGUGGGUGUGUGUAUACACACACACACACACACACACACACACACACAAACACACCCUGUUCAAAAUGCCAGAGGGGUUUGGAUUUUGUUUUACUUUGAAAUAUUAAAUCUGGAGUGAUCAUCUUUGCAAAGCCAUGUUUUAAAGUAAUAGGUGAAGACAAAUGUCAGUAAAUGGGGCUAGCUCAAAGGCACAUGUGUUCUUAUUAAGCUGUUUUGGUGUUUGUAGGUUUUUUCCUGGUGAGAACAGAGUCCAAGGACUUGAUGGGCUUCUUAUUGUAGCUAGCAACGGGGAAAGGUAGCUCUUUCUUUCAAUAAAGGUUGCCAGUGUCAGACCCUGGGAGAGCUCCUGGGAGAGCAGGUGCUGUAUACAAAUGUCACAGCCGCGCUGGCAAGAGGGGGGCUUUCCCACACAACUCUAUUUUUACCAGUUCUCAGAAAUAGACCGUGCUUCCUCUUCUGCAGAAUGAGUGGACAGCGAAGGCUCUUAAUCUAGUAUAUGAGGAAGUACAAGAAGAUACCUUCAGCGUAGUAAGGAGGACAAGGAAGCAGUGUUUCAGCUCUGUUUGCAAACAAUGUUAAAGCCACACCAUUGGACCAUUUCAGCUGAGAAAUUAUAUGUUUUAUGAGUCUGCAGUGUGAAACCACCAACCAAUCAAUUCAGUGCUGUCACCUGAAGGGGAACCCUUUUUCCUAAUGUCCGAAUCAUCUUACUAAUGCCAGGAUGCCUUUGUUUUCACCAACAUCUGUUUUUUUGUUUUUGUUUUUGUGAAUGAAUGACCACAAAAGAGUUACAUAAGAAUCGCCUGUUUGUUCUUCUCUUGCCCUAAAAAGGUUGAAAAGUCUUGGGGCACCUUAAAGGACUCCUUGUGGGGGGAGGGCAACCAACAAUAGCUGUGGUUGGUGCAUAAGAAACGACCAAACUCUAAAGCCCACAGACUGGGUAUUGUAAUUGUUAUGUAUUGAAGUUCUCACCCUGGCCACCAGGAGUAUUGUGUAUGUAGUUUUCACUCAGGUCCACAUCAGUUAUUUUAGGUGGGAAACCCUGGGUUGUUGUUGCUACAAUGUUGACAGCUGGCUGCCUAUAAAAGCAGGCCGGCUGAGCUGUUGGCUGUUCAGUUCUGUUCCAGCUUACAAAUAAAGAGCUGCUUUGGAAGAAUUGCUGUGCCGUCUGCUAUGUCUACCCGCUAUUCAACAAUAGUCCCCAACUAUUCAACAAUAGUCCCCAACUAUUCAACAAUAGACCCCAACAAUUCAAAUAAUAAUAAUAAUUAAUACAAACCCAAAUGUCCUCCAGAGUGGGAAACUUUCAUAUUGCAUAAGCUUUUGUGAAAGGGCACUGAAGCUCAUGACCAAACGAAAUAUUAUUGCAGGUGUUUUGAUUUUACGAGGUGCACAACAGCUACCUCUCUAUUGCCACCCAAUAUCAUGGGUGUUGGGGUCUUAUUUCAGGGUGUUGGGGUGGAGACUUCAGUUCCAAAGAGCAUGAAAUGUUAUCAUAGAAUUAUAGAACCGUAGAGUUGCAAGGGACCCUGAGGAUCAUCUAGUCCAACCCCCUGCAAUGUAGGAAUAUGCAGCUGCCCCAUACAGGGAUUGAAUCCGCAGCCUUGGCGUUAUCAGCACCACACUCUAAUCAAGUUGUGCAGGUUGUUCAAAGGAGGGGUGCUGGUGAUAGUGGAAAAGGCCCUGGGUUUCUGUUCUGACUCAACAUCUUCGUUUCACUUUUGUUUCCAGUUAUCUUGGGCACGCAGAAAGUUUCAUUUUUCUAGAAAUAGGCUGGGGUUUUAUAAAGUGGUUGGAUUAAAAAAAAAAACCACAUGGAGAUGCAAAAGAUUUGGAUUAGCAUAAAAGCUGCAGGAGGAAAUGAUUAAGAAUAGGACCCACAAAGGAAGGAAGUCCAGGAGAUUCUUUGGACUCUUGUUUCUGUGUUGUGUGUUGGAUAUGUGAUUGUAAAACUUUGAUCUGAAAACCAAAUAAACAGAGAGAGAGAGAGAGAGAGUUUUCAGAUAUAAGUUUUACAAUAUAUAUACCAUUAUCCUCUGCAGAAUUAGAAAGUGAUGCGGGAACAUUAUAACAAGAACAUUCUUCUGCAUGGGCAGAGCCAGGAUUUGGGGGGGGGGGCAGGCCUUUUGUGGGGGUGGGGCAGAACCUCAGUUAGCUAUGUGUUUUUAUUGAUUUUUAUUGAUCAGUGGACAGCUGCCCCUCAUGCUUUGAGCUGUCCAAUAGCCACUUUAUUGCUGGAUGCUGUAGAAAACCGCUGGCUGUUGGGAGACAGGACAAACUAGUCCAGGCCAGGGAUGGAUUUCGGCAGCUGGGAUUUUGGGGCAUGUGCUGUGGCCUCAGCAGGGUGCGGUGCUCACGUCGGCAAUGGGUGGACGGACCUGGGAACCACCUGUCUGAUCCAGCAGGGCUCUUCUUACUCAGAGGGUUACUGUGAGGAUAAAAUGGGAUCAUAACCCCUGCUCCUCCCUCCUUGAAGGAAGCAGGGGCAGACCUACUAUGAAACGAAUGCCUCCUGCCAGCCUAGCAGCUCAAAAGCACCCCGGUGCAAGUCGAUAAAUACCUUCAGCAGGAAGGUAAACGGAGUUUCCGUGUGCUUUGGCUUCCGUCACGGUGUUCUGUUGUGGCAGAAGCAGUUUAGUCAUGCUGGUCAUAUGACAAACGCUGGAUCCCUCAGCCUGAAAGCAAGAUGAGCACCGCAAACCCAUAGUCACCUUUGACUGGACUUCGCUGUCCAGGGGUCCUUUACCCAAACUAAUGAAGCAUAAGUUUCAGGGUUCCUAAUCCCAGAGGUCACUGCAGAUGGUGACAGCAGUCAUGAAAUUAAAACACGCCUGCUUCUUGGGAGAAAAGCGAUGACAAACUUAGACAGCAUCUUAAAAAGCAGAGACAUCACCUUGCCAACAAAGGUCCGUAUAGUUUUCCCAGGUGAUGUAUGGAAGUGAGAGCUGGACCAUAAAGAAGGCUGAUCGCCGAAGAAUUGAUGCUUUUGAAUUAUGGUGCUGGAGGAGACUCUUCAGAGUCCCAUGGACUGCAAGAAGAUCAAACCUAUCCAUUCUGAAGGAAAUCAGCCCUGAGUGCUCACUGGAAGGACAGAUCCUGAAGCUGAGGCUCCAAUACUGUGGCCACCUCAUGAGAAGAGAAGAUUCCCUGGAAAAGACCCUGGGAAACACUGAGGGCACAAGGAGAAGGGGACGACAGAGGACAAGAUGGUUGGACAGUGUUCUUGAAGCUACCAGCAUGAGUUUGAGGGAGGCAGAGGAAGACAGGAGUGCCUGGCGUGCUCUGGUCCAGGGGGUCACGAAGAGUCGGACACGACUAAAUGACUAAACAACAACAACAAUCCCAGAGGGGCACCAGAAGCGACUUUAGUUCACAUUGCUUAAAAGCUUUGCUUUAAUAAGUACAUGAUACAUGUAUAUAACAUUUCCCUAAUUUUCAUCCCCCCACUCAUAACUUGAAAUCUAUAAGGCACAGGAAAUGUUUAUUCACACCAGUGACUUUGACAUGUGAGAUAACCCACUACAGUACAGCAAUUUUAAAUCUGAGGUGUGGUAGCUAAUUUCUUUCUUUCUUUUUAAUGUGGUGAUCUGUCGUGGAGCAACCCCACUGAAGAAGAUAACAGUGGUUGCACCCAGAUCUCGUUGCUGGUUGUGAAGGGGCCCCCAAAUCAGCUCAAGCUUCAGGCGUUCCCAAAAUAUAGUUCUGCCACUGCAAGGAAGGAUGUGACUGUAGACUGCAGUCCUCUACACCGGGGGGGGGGGGGCAGGGUUCACCCCAAGGGCCACAUUCCCUUCUGGACAAUAUUUUGAGGGCCACACACCAGUGGUGUGCUGACAGGGCCAGAGGCAAAAGUGUGUGAAACAACAAGUUUACCUUUGCACACUAGGCUAGUUUAUGUACACAUGCACUAGGCUAGUUUAUGCACACAUGCUCUCUGACCAUCAAGAAGCAUUAUCAGGGUUCAAGGAUACGCUCCCGCAAUGGCAAAAGCACUUGGGGGGUGAAAAUCAGAGCCAGUGGCUGCGGGAGUGUCCCAAGGGCCAGAUGGAGGGGUCUGGAGGGCCACAUUCAGUCUCCAGGACUGAGGUUCCUCUGCAAACUUAUCAAGGAGCAAGUCCCUUUGGACACAACAGGACCUACUUCUGAGUAGAAGGCCUGCUCUGAGAACAAAUAAAUAAUAUAUGAUAGUAUUUUGAAUUUACUAUGUUCUGUGUUGAGUAUUUGGUGUGUACUGAACAUCCUUGCUUCCAAGUUUUCUCUAUUAUUAUUAUUAUUACUACUACUACUACUUUGAGAUGGCAAACCUACACAAUCACAAGGGCCACAGAUGCUGGAUCAGAAUAGGCAAAAUACCAAGUAGCCUUUUCUGAGCUCCACCUUUGCAAAACCUGCGUUCCUGUCUUCUUACUGACUUUGGUCCAGAAUAACUUCAAGCUGAAAGUAAAUGAGCAAAACAAGCAUAUAUUUUUUUAUUUUUUAAACAGCUUUUGCGUGAGUCAUGUUCAUUGUACAUGAGUAGUGUUCAGUUAUCAAUUUAAAUUUUAAAGCUAAAUUUUGAUCUAGGAGUUUCACAAGGCUUGCACCAGUGUAGAAGGUGACUUCACAUUUACUUUUCCUCUUGCUCCAGGGAACUCUCUCCUUGGGGGAUGUCCUUAGGGGUGCUGCAAGAUGAUAACGGUAGAACAGCUUUUGCAUCUUGCUUAUUCAUUAUGAGUGACUGGGGGGGUGUGUGAGGUGAAAUUAAGAGCUUAGCGUGGGUGGGCAAAAGAGGGGAACAGAACUCCACCCCCCACAAUCUGUGCCAUUCCACACACCAAAAAAACCCUGUGUUAUUUCAGCUAUCUGCUUGUUUUCCUGAAUUGAAGGUACUUCCAGUCUUGAAGCUCUACUGGGAGGAAGCUGAAAAUCUCUGUUAAGCCAGCCUGAAAGCAACACCUAAGAUUACAUCUCUUGUGUCACACCAGUAUACCAACACCUUAUCUCCCGAACUCCCAGAGGACAGGAUCACACUUCAAAACGACCUUGACAGAUUAGAGAACUGGGCAAAAACAAACAAGAUGAAUUUUAACAGGGAGAAAUGUAAAGUAUUGCACUUGGGCAAAAAAAAUGAGAGGCACAAAUACAAGAUGGGUGACACCUGGCUUGAGAGCAGUACAUGUGAAAAGGAUCUAGGAGUCUUUGUUGACCACAAACGUGACAUGAGCCAACAGUGUGACGCGGCAGCUACAAAGCCAAUGCAAUUCUGGGCCUGCAUCAAUAGGAGUAUAGCAUCUAGAUCAAGGGAAGUAAUAGUGCCACUGUAUUCUGCUCUGGUCAGACCUCACCUGGAGUACUGUGUCCAGUUCUGGGCACCACAGUUCAAGAAGGACACUGACAAACUGGAACGUGUCCAGAGGAGGGCAACCAAAAUGGUCAAAGGCCUGGAAACGAUGCCUUAUGAGGAACGGCUAAGGGAGCUGGGCAUGUUUAGCCUGGAGAAGAGGAGGUUAAGGGGUGAUAUGAUAGCCAUGUUCAAAUAUAUAAAAGGAUGUCACAUAGAGGAGGGAGAAAGGUUGUUUUCUGCUGCUCCAGAGAAGCAGACACGGAACAAUGGAUCCAAACUACAAGAAAGAAGAUUCCACCUAAACAUUAGGAAGAACUUCCUGACAGUAAGAGCUGUUUGACAGUGGAAUUUGCUGCCAAGGAGUGUGGUGGAGUCUCCUUCUUUGGAGGUCUUUAAACAGAGGCUUGACAACCAUAUGUCAGGAGUGCUCUGAUGGUGUUUCCUGCUUGGCAGGGGGUUGGACUCGAUGGCCCUUGUGAUCUCUUCCUACUCUAUGAUUCUAUGAUUCUAACUCAUUGCCUGCUUCCCCCGCUGCUAACUGCUCACCAACAGAGUUACAUUAAACAGUGUGUUCCUAUACAUGUUUUACUUAGAAGCAAGUCCUGGUGAGAUCCAUGGACCUAUUCCCAGGUAGCUGUCCAUAGUAGGGGCAGGGGAACCUUGUGUUGAGGGCCGCAUUCACUUGGAGUUAAUCUAUUGGGAGUUGCAUGCUGAUGUGUGUGUGGACAGGAACAGAUCCCCUUUUUCUAAGCUGAAGGAAUCAUUUCAUUUCACUUUUAAUUUGUAUACGGUGGACGCUUGGGUUGCGAACGUGAUCCGUGCGGGAUGCACGUUCACAACCCGCAACGGUGUGUCUGUGCACACGCGGGUUGCGAUUCUGCGCAUGCGCAAUGCGCGAUUUAGCACUUCUGUGCAUGCGCAACCUCCGAAACCCAGAAGUAACCCAUUCCGGUACUUCCGGGUUUCGGCGCGUCCGUAACCUGGAAAAACGCAACCUGGAGCGUCUGUAACCCGAGGUAUGACUGUACCGCCGUUCUAUAUUACUAUACACAAGGCGUUUUACAAGCUGAAGAAACAAACAAAAUAGACAGCAGAGAUCACAUACCUAAUAACCAUCUGCUCCAAUACAAAAAAAGUCAGAAUAAAAACAUAACUUUAAAAUAAACAACAUAUCAAAUACAUCAGGCAGAACUUUCUGGCAGUGAGAGAUGUUCAACAGUGGAACAGUCUCCCUCAGGAGGCUGCGGACUCUCCUUCGUUGGAGGUUUUUAAGCAGAGGUUGGAUGGACAUCUAUCAUGUAUGAUCUAGUUAAGAUUCCUGCAUUACAGGGGGUUGGACUAGAUAACCCUUGGGGUCCUCUUAAACUAUUCAAGUCUAGGAUUCUAGGGUUCUAAUAAAGCAAUAUUCAACAAUCUAUUAGAACAAAAUAGUAAAUAGUAAAAUUUAAUAUUACCAGCAAAUAAUAAUUAAACAGUUUACACUUAACAAUCACAAUAAAGAAUUGCUAAACUAUAAUCAAUAGAAAUAAAGGCAAGUCACAAUGCACAAAAUACUGCAAAACCAUGUAAAAGGAUCAAAUUGAGAAACAAAGAGUGGUGGAAUUGCAAUGUAACAACAAAAAAUUUGGGAAAUGAUAUAUAGCAAAAUGGGGAAAAAAUGUUUAAAAUAACCUUUGUUAAAAUCCAGAAGCCUUUUUAUUAGGAAUUAUAGGUACCGUGAUUCCAAAAGACCGGAGGAAACUGUUCAUGUCUGCUACAACGGCCGCUCGGAUGUUACUAGCUCAGAGAUGGAAGGAAGAGAAAGCCCCAACCAGAGAAGAAUGGCAAAUCAAGUUGAUGGACUAUGCUGAUAUGGCAAAAUUAAAUGGAAAGCUCAGGAAUCACGAAGACAAUAAAUUUAAAAAAGAAUGGGGAAUGUUUAUAAUGUAUAUAUACAAAAUAAUUGUAAACAGGUCAAAACAUUAGCAGGAUUUUAAAUACACUUGUAAUGUAACAGAAUGUAUAGAUAACUUAGGAAGAUGAAAAAUUGGGCAUAUAUUGAUAUGCAGUUGAAAAUAUAAUCAAAAGAACCCAUGGAACGGAUGGGGGAAAGUCAGGAGAUUCAGAGCAAUAUCGAUAUUUGGAUUUUGUACUUUUUUUAUGUAUGUUUAUUUUCUUUUUUCUUUCUUUCUCUCUUUUUGAAAAUCAUAUAAAAAGAUUAUAAAAAAGCAAAACAAAGACACACAACUUACAAAAAAAAUUUUUUAGAAAACAUACUGCUGAACUCCUUGAAUCAUGCUGUCUUCCAGCCAGCUGCAAACUGCCAAUUUUUGCAAUCGAAACAUCUGCUACUUUGGCCACAAAGCACUAAGCACCUCAGAGACCCCUACAUUGUUGGAGGACUUAAAGCAUGGGUAAGCAAACUAAGGCCCGGGCGCCGGAUCCGGCCCAAUCACCUUCUAAAUCCAGCCCGUGGACGGUCCAGGAAUCAGCAUAUUUUAACAUGAGUAGAAUGUGUCCUUUUAUUUAAAAUGCACCUCUGGGUUAUUUUUGGGGCAUAGGAAUUCGUUCAUUAUUUUUUUUCCAAAAUAUAGUCCGGCCCCCGACAAGGUCUGAGGGACAGUGGACCGGCCCCCUACUGAAAAAGUUUGCUGACCCCUGAAAGGUUUCCAAACUACACCCUAAGCCAGUGAUGUGUCUUUACCUAACCUUUACGGACAGCUCUAAAUCAGGUCCAGAGGGACUCAGAGCCUUAGUAUCCACUUCACAUCUGGCAAUGGGGAAAAAAAUAUUGGCCACAGAUCUUCGAUUGCAUUGGAUACAACAAAAAACAUUUUCAGAGUUUAUUGGACCCCACACCUUCUUUUUAGGAAAACUUUAACUAGCAUUGACAAAUGUUGAUGUCACAGGAGUUGGUUCUGUGCUAGAGUCACAGUCUUUUGGUCAGAAGUCAUCUGCUGGAUAAAUAUUGUUUCUGAUACCUGUUUGAGAUUUACAGAUGUUAAUGUUCUACUGGAUUAUGUACCAAUCCUCUGGAAAUUGGCAGAGGGACCAUUUAACUGGCUUCCAAGGGCACUUAUGGUGGCCAAACUUCUAACACUUCAAUCCUAGAAAGAGAAAUCUACCCCAUCUGAUGGUACAAUGGACAUUGGGAUUCAAGAUGGCCUCAACAGAUAGGAGAAUUUAGGAAUAACCAACUGCACAAAGGUGAGAAGGGGGACACCUGGUUUGCCAGUAGUACAUGUGGAAAGGAUCUAGGGGUCUUGGUAGACCACCAGCUAAACAUGAGUCAACAGUGUGACACAGCAGCAAAAAUUUAAAAAAGGUAAUCCUAUUCUAGGUUGCAUCAACAUUCUAUUCUCCCUUGAUCAGACCCCACCUGGAAUACUGUGUCCAGUUCUGGGCACCACAAUUUAAGAAGGAUAUUGACAAGCUGGAAUGUGUGCAGAGGAGGGCAACCAAGAUUAUCAAGGGUCUGGAAACCAAGCUUUAUGAGGAAUGUUGAAGGAGCUUGGUAUAUUUAGCCUGGAAAAAAUUAGGCCAAGAGGAUAUAUGGUAAAGGUAAAGGUAAAGGGACCCCUGACCGUUAGGUCCAGUCGCAAAUGACUCUGGGGUUGCGGCGCUCAUCUCGCUUUAUUGGCCGAGGGAGCCGGCGUACAGCUUCCGGGUCAUGUGGCCAGCAUGACGAAGCCGCUUCUGGCGAACCAGAGCAGCGCAUGGAAAUGCCCUUUACCUUCCCGCCAGAGCGGUACCUAUUUAUCUACUUGCACUUUGACGUGCUUUCGAACUGCUAGGUGGGCAGGAGCAGGGACUGAGCAACAGGAGCUCACCCCAUUGCGGGGAUUCGAACCGCUGACCUUCUGAUCGGUAAGCCCUAGACUCUGUGGUUUAACCCACAGCGCAACCUGCGUCCUAGGACAUAUGAUAGCCAUCUUCAAAUAUAUAAAAGGCUGUCACAUGGAAGAAGGAGCAAGCUUGAUUCCUCCUGCACUGCAGGGUAGGACUCGAACCAGUCAAUUCAAGUUACAAGAAAGGAAUUUCCAACUAAACACCAAGAAAGCUUUCUGACAGUAACAGCUGUUCGGCAGCGGAAUGGACUCCCUCAGGAGGUAGUGGACUCUCCAUCCUUGGAGGUCUUUAAGCAGAGGUGAGUGGCCAUCUGUCCUGGAUGAUCUUGUUAAUAUUCCAGCAUUGCAGGGGGUUGGACUAGAUGUCCCUUAUAGAGCCCCUUCCAACUCUAUAAUUCUACUUCUGAUUAACAUUUUUAGGAUCAUACUUUAUAGUUCCUUAGCCUAGGGAUGGGGAACUUUUUCCAGCCUCAGCACCACAUUGCCUUGGGGCCAGAAGCAAUAGUUGUUGGAACGAGGAUGGCCAGUUUUAUGUGCACAACCCUAUGUUAUCUUCCGUCCAGACAUGCAAGAGAUAUUAUCAGAGUUCAAUAGCACAUCCCAGACAGACAAAACCACUCAGGAGUCAAUGCAGAGCCAAUGAAGGAUGUGACCAUUGUGUGGUCUGGGAAAAGUUCCUAGGGUCAGGGUCUGAUGUUUCUUCUCCAUAGGACAGCCCUAUAGCGACCCAUUCCUACUUGAAAACAAACUCCAAGUAUUUGUGGAAUUAUUCCCUUUAAAACCACACCGCAAACCCACAUUAAAGCACCAUUUUCAAGGUUUCGUCUGCGUGCGCAUACAAGUCUGCCUUUUGCAAACGGCUGUAUUAAGUCUGUUGGAGCAAAAUCAUAAAAGAUAUGUUUAAUGGCAUGAGCUUCCUUGAGCUAGAGUCUGCUUAGUCAGAUGCAGGAAUCCAUAAAAACGAAAAUGUUUGUUAUGGGAAAGUGGAGGUGUCAAGGGAGUAGGGGAGAGGAAAUGUUUUGAAAGUUCAGAUAUUCAGGAACCAGAGAGAUGAGUUAGAAUAGAUAAACCGAAGUAUCCAUUUUCAAACGCUUCUCUAUUUCUUCUUUAAAACGUACCUGGGGUUCAUUUUUUUAAAGCUAUUUUUUAAUUAAAGCUUUAGAAAACAAAGAAAAAACAAUAUACAGAAAUCAACAUCAAAUAUCAAGCAUUUUUCUUAACAUAAAGAUGAAAAUAAGACUCCAAUUCUCCAUCUAUCAGCAUUUAAAAACUUAGGCAAAACUCUUCCUCCAUAAUAAGAUCCAACUCUUCUUUCCACAAACCAACCUUCUUUCAAUCUUCAAACCCAGCUAUCACAAACUCCUUUUCCUUUUGUGUGUGCAAAAAGUCCAUAAGGGCUUUGCAAUCAUUAAUAAAUGUCAAUCAUUGAUUUAGAGAAAAUUAAAUUAAACACACAUCUGGGGUUCCUCAGUUAGGAGAACUGUAAUGGGUGGGACCAGGUUGCCCAUAGACCUUACUAUGGGAUGGGUAUCCCCAGGGAGAAGUUUGGUGUGAUCUGCAUGCUCCCUGGGCACCAGGGAGACCAGGCAAUGCAGUGACAGACUCCAGAUUUGGGGGACACCUACAGAUACAGAGUCCCCUUCCUGGACCCCCAACCUUUGCUUGCCCUCUCCCCACCCGCAAGCCAAACCCUGCCAAGAAAGAGAACCUCAACACCGUACACUCAAAACAGCAAGAAUCCUGGAAACUGUAGUUUUGUUACAUCUCAGCCAAGUCAUAUAAGAGGAGGAUGUCAGGUGUCAGACAGGGGAGUCUUCCUCAGAAGAGGACCAGAAGGCUCUCUCCUGGGUCAGGGCUGCAUCUGGGGGUUAGGAGCUGGGAUCCUGAGACAAAGGAUGAGCCCAUGAGGAAGGCUACACCUUAAACAUCAGGUGGGAACCUGGCCCAUUACUGGUGACUACUGGUGAAGGUGCCUCAGGAGGAAAGGUCCUCACAGGAGUAAGACGCUCCUUUCAAGGAGACCUCUGGAGAGAAUGAUAGGAGUUGGCAGGAGCUGAAGGUGAGCUGCGGGGUCCAGCAGCUCCAGCUCAAAACCCCCAGAGCUGGGCUGGGAGAACUGUUGGAACCUGACUUCAGACUUUGUCUCUUGGCUGUCCCUUUGUUGGGGAUCUCUGUUUAUUUGCUCAGAUUCUGGCCUUGGAAACUGCUCUGCUGCAGAUAUGCAGUUCCCUGCUUACUCAGCAGCCUAGUGAAAACAGGGUAAGUUUACCUCUCACAGAACUACAAUUCUCAGCACCCUUAAAGUAUAAUGCCCUGGAUUCUUUGGGGGAUCAUGUGCUUUAAAUGUAUGGUGUGUGUUGGUGCAUGUAGAUAGAUGUGUGUUGGUGCAUGUAGAUGGAUGCCAAGAUUCAAAAUUGGGGCAAGUACUCUUUGGUGAGAGAACCCCCAGAAGAGUUUUAAAGUCAUAAAAUAUGCAGCAAAGUAAACCCUGGAACUCUAGACUAUCAGACUUUUAAAAUAUGCCCUUCCAAGUGUGUUCCAGAAUUUCCCUCUUCCCCCAAGAUCACACCUUUAGUAAGUUUAAAAUAUUUACUUACAAACUCUCCAAAGGUCAGAUUCAUGUGCUUUUCCAUACAAGAGUGAGAUAAGUUGCACAGACUGUAAAACUUAGUUACAAAGUGGUGAAAAUUCCUAGAUUUUUUAUAUAGGAACUCAAAGAGUGGCUGGUUAUAGCCAUGUGGCUGAGCUGGACUAACCAAUUCAAACUUCCCCAAACAAUGAGUUUCUCGGGUAGACUUGAUUACCUCUUUCCUUCCAAGGUAAGGGAAGCAGCGUAGCUAACCUGGCAGGACAGCUUACUCUAUGGUAUUAACCCUUCAUGCAUUGAUUAGACAAGCGUGUUGCUGAUACAGUGGUUCCUCGGGUUAAGUACUUAAUUCGUUCUGGAGGUCUGUUCUUAACCUGAAACUGUUCUUAACCUGAAGCACCACUUUAGCUAAUGGGGCCUCCUGCUGCUGCCGCACCACCGGAGCAUGAUUUCUGUUCUCAUCCUGAAGCAAAGUUCUUAACCUGAGGUACUAUUUCUGGGUUAGCGGAGUCUGUAACCUGAAACGUAUGUAACUUGAAGCGUAUGUAACCCGAGGUACCACUGUAUUGUGAUACUGGUUAUCCCACAGUUGUGUGCAGCCCAUUGCUCCUGACAGCAGGAGUUUAAGAAAUAAUGUGGAAACAGCAAGCAAGCAGAUUUCAACAGUGGUUUAUUUAUUCACAAUUGCAUUUAUACCCCCACCUGUCUGAGGCCCAAGGAGGUGACAUAACAUGGUUUCCCCACCCACUGUUUUCCAGUUUUACAAUCAGGACAACCCUGCGAAGUAGGUUAGACUCUGAGAGGUACAGUGAACUACAUGACUGAGUGGGGAUUUGAAGGGUCCUAGUCCAACGCUCUAACCACUACAUUACACUGGUCGCGGCCAGCAGACCACAUUGGGGGGGGGGUGACACCUCUUGCCGUGGGAACUCCCUGUCCCUGACCAUGUUCCACACUGGCUAGACACCCCAAGGUGCCACAGACGCCCCAUCUCUGUUUGGACCCCUUCUGUUUAUACUUGUCUCUGGCUUUGGAACUUUCUUUAUGUAUGCAACAACAGCAGCAAGAAUACUCAUCGCAAAGUAUUGGAAGACACAAGAACUUCCCACGCUGGAGGAAUGGCAGAUGAAACUGAUGGACUAUAUGGAACUGGCGGAAAUGACUGGCAGAAUCCGUGACCAGGGAGAAGAGUUGGUGGAGGAAGAUUGGAAGAAAUUCAAAGAUUAUCUUCAGAAACAUUGCAAAAUUAAAGAAUGUUAGAGUGAUGUUGGAUCGAAAAUAAGUGGUUUCCAGCUGUACAGGUUAAAGUUAUUGAUAGACUAAGAUUAAAGAUUAGGAUUAAAGAUGUUUAAGGAAAUGGAAAUUUGGUACUUAAGAGAUAAAAUUUUAAUGUUAUAUUACAUUAAGA
Podarcis lilfordi (Lilford's wall lizard) is the source of this 39924-nucleotide non-coding RNA. The record is from the annotation of a GenBank genome assembly. Lineage: Eukaryota; Metazoa; Chordata; Lepidosauria; Squamata; Lacertidae.